UUGAAGAGAAAGAGUCGAGGAAGGAAGCAGAUUGUCUUGGUCGAUUUGUGAUGCGUCGGUGAAAAUUUUUCAUUACCCCGACUAUUUUCGGGCUUGAGCUCAGUACGAUAUAUUUAUUAGCGUCGCGACACCAUGCGCGUGAACAGAUUGGCUUUGACGUUCGUUUAUCGAAAGCGACGGCUUUGUUCCGCUAUAUGGGACGGCAUGGCGGUGUGAUUCGGAACUACGGAUGGUGUACGCGCAUUCCCCCGUCGCAGCGCGGAGGAAUAACCGGGUUCGUGAUCUCUGACGGAGACGUUUAAUGGUGAAUCCAGUAGAUUGUAAAUCGCAAAAGUAUCUUUUUAAUUGAAUCGUCGUAAAUUACCAGUAUCGACUAAGGCGAAUUAACUUACUUCGCAGUGAU
This 403-nucleotide unclassified non-coding RNA is filed under the name Bombus terrestris (buff-tailed bumblebee). Its description in RNAcentral is "misc RNA ENSBTSG00005029622.1". The record is from RNAcentral. Lineage: Eukaryota; Metazoa; Arthropoda; Insecta; Hymenoptera; Apidae.